UACGUAGGUGGCAAGCGUUGUCCGGAUUUACUGGGCGUAAAGAGCGCGCAGGCGGUCGGAUCAGUCGAAUGUGAAAGCCCCCGGCUCAACUGGGGAGGGUCAUUCGAUACUGUCCGACUCGAAGGCAGGAGAGGGAAGCGGAAUUCCCGGUGUAGUGGUGAAAUGCGUAGAUAUCCGGAGGAACACCAGUGGCGAAGGCGACUUUCUGGCCUGUUCUUGACGCUGAGGCGCGAAAGCUAGGGGAGCAAACGGG
Molecule: ribosomal RNA, 253 nt
Filed under: uncultured bacterium
Lineage: Bacteria
Description: partial 16S ribosomal RNA
Rfam family: Bacterial small subunit ribosomal RNA
Source: RNAcentral